GCUGGGCAUGGUGGCACAUGCCUGUAAUCCCAGUGUUUUGGGAGGCUGAGGCAGGAGGAUUGGGAGUUCAAAACCAGCCUCAG
Molecule: small RNA, 83 nt
Filed under: Marmota monax (woodchuck)
Lineage: Eukaryota; Metazoa; Chordata; Mammalia; Rodentia; Sciuridae
Source: RNAcentral